This 2124-nucleotide long non-coding RNA is filed under the name Nicotiana benthamiana. RNAcentral's name for it is "long non-coding RNA (NBEN_LNC009393)". The record is from RNAcentral. Lineage: Eukaryota; Viridiplantae; Streptophyta; Magnoliopsida; Solanales; Solanaceae.
AAAUUUGUUUCAAAAGUAAAUAACUCAGAGUCGCCACCUGACUUUGAUUUCGGUGUGCCAGGUCAUUUUUUUUUUAAAUAUUUAUUUUUCCUUUUAAAACAUUUCAGACUCUAAAACCAAGUCCGCACUAGAGAUUCAGGUAAGGGGGUUCAUUUGCCUCGGGAAUAAGGUGUUAGGUAUUCCCCAAGUCCCGUGAAGUUUACGGUUGCGUACAUGAUCAAGUUGGCUAUUAAAAUAUUCGAUUGAGGUAAAAACAUAGAAAAGGAAAAUAAACACACAAGAGGCUCGAGGUCGUUCCCACCCAAUGAAAGAAAAAUAAAAAGUGAAAAAUAAAAAUAAAAAUACUUAGAGUUCUAAUUUCCGUCUCCAAUUACAAAUACUUCGGGGCAUACCCCAGAUAAUAAUAUAUACAAACUUCACAGGGCAUUCCUCGGAUAAAUUUAACUAAGGGACAACCUCUCACCUUCAAACUAACAAACUCCUAAGGCUUGCCUACCUGAGUGUUGUCGGCCUAAACAUGUUACUAGCGAUUAAAUUAGUAUCUAGUAAUAACAAAAUAACAAUAAAAACAUUCCAUCUUUUGCCUAACUCUCUUAAAACCGAUUUUUUCAAUUCUGUUCGAAUCAUCAUUGCCUAAUCCCAUUUAAUCAAUUAGCUCCCUACCCACAGUCCCUUUUCAACUUACACGUCAAUAAUAUUCACAAGAGAAAAUUCAUAAAUUGUCGUUAGUUAAAAGCUCAGUCAACGAUUAAAGCCAAAUGAGUCUAAAAAAAGAGAAAUCAAAAACUAAUCACAAAGCAACAUAUAUUGUCUUUAGUUAAAAGCUUAGUCAACGAUUAAAGCCAAAUGAGUCUAAAAAAAAGAAAUCAAAAACUAAUCACAAAGCAACAAUUAAAACAUAUUGUGCAAACAAAUGUAGGCUAGAACAUGAUAGCAAUUUGGAUUAAAGAAGAACAGAGGGAAGAAUGAACCUUACGCGGGACCGAACCUUGCAAGUUUAAACAGCAACAAUGUUGUUCUUGAAUGAAACAGGAAUUAAAAUUGGACAAUAGCACUUCAAAUCCACACCAGAAACGCGAAUCUGCCUGGAAACCUCGAACUCGACACCAACAUCGGACUAAAACACCAUGAGUUGAAAUUGAAAAUUGAAAUCGAAAGAGGAUAUUGAAACGUAAUAUUUAUUUUUGUAUUUUUUUUCUUUGAACCCAAACACCAACUGACUCAAAAAUAAGAAAACAUCAUCCUUUCAUUUGUUUGUGUUCAUUCUUGAAAUUCUGAAGAAAAGUGGAAGUAAAAUUAAAAGAGUAAUCAAAGACUGUCCAAAAUUCUUCUUCAUCUUUGUCAUUCUGUCCGUGAGUGUGUGUAUGGUCGUAGAUUAGAGGGAUUCCGGCGAGGGGGUUUGGCAUGUGUAAUGGGAGGUAGGUGAAGGAGAAGCGGUGAUGAGAGGUCACCGGUGGUCGCAGCGUGGAGUUCCGGCGAGCUGUUGCGGUUGUGGUUCAGCUAUUGGGUGGCACGGACAGAGAUCGAUAUAGAGUCGUUUGGUUGUUCUGCGUUGCUGAAGAAAUGUUUUGGUUGUUGGCUGAAGAAGGAAAACGAGGGGUUGUCCAUUUGGGUUGCUGCUUGGAUUGAAGUAGAGGAGGUCGGCGUCGCUAGUCGUUGGAGAAGGGAGGGCGACAGUCUUGGGGUGGUCCGGUGAAGGCUGUUUCGCUGGUGAGGGAGUUGGUGGUUCGCUGGACGUUAGGGACGAUGGAGGGUGCUCGACUGGCUAUGGAUGUUCGGCGGCUGGAGAGUGGUCGAGAAAGGUUUUCUGGGGUGGUUGGGAUGGUUAUGGUGGUUGGUGGUGGGGCGUGAUAGCGGUGGUCACUUGGACGAAGAUGAAGGUGGCGAUGGAGUCUCAAGGGUGUGGCGGCUUUGGGUCUUUUUGUCUAGGGUUUAGCCUUGUUGCCCCUCCAUUAUUGUCUUAGGUUCAAGAAGAAGAAGGGAGCUCUCUAGGGUUUUUUUUUAAAAAAAAAUCUGAUGGGUUAACUGGGAUUGGGAUAAAAGGUCAUGGGUCAAAAGGAAGGUUGGGACUUAAAAUUGGACUAAAGAAAAAAUAUCCAACCUUAGCUAAAUACCCUUUAAUCU